GAUGAACGCUGGCGGCGUGCCCAAUACAUGCAAGUCGAGCGAACGGACGAGAAGCUUGCUUCUCUGAUGUUAGCGGCGGACGGGUGAGUAACACGUGGAUAACCUACCUAUAAGACUGGGAUAACUUCGGGAAACCGGAGCUAAUACCGGAUAAUAUUUUGAACCGCAUGGUUCAAAAGUGAAAGACGGUCUUGCUGUCACUUAUAGAUGGAUCCGCGCUGCAUUAGCUAGUUGGUAAGGUAACGGCUUACCAAGGCAACGAUGCAUAGCCGACCUGAGAGGGUGAUCGGCCACACUGGAACUGAGACACGGUCCAGACUCCUACGGGAGGCAGCAGUAGGGAAUCUUCCGCAAUGGGCGAAAGCCUGACGGAGCAACGCCGCGCGAGUGAUGAAGGUCUUCGGAUCGUANAACUCUGUUAUUAGGGAAGAACAUAUGUGUAAGUAACUGUGCACAUCUUGACGGUACCUAAUCAGAAAGCCACGGCUAACUACGUGCCAGCAGCCGCGGUAAUACGUAAGUGGCAAGCGUUAUCCGGAAUUAUUGGGCGUAAAGCGCGCGUAGCGGUUUUUUAAGUCUGAUGUGAAAGCCCACGGCUCAACCGUGGAGGGUCAUUGGAAACUGGAAAACUUGAGUGCAGAAGAGGAAAGUGGAAUUCCAUGUGUAGCGGUGAAAUGCGCAGAGAUAUGGAGGAACACCAGUGGCGAAGGCGACUUUCUGGUCUGUAACUGACGCUGAUGUGCGAAAGCGUGGGGAUCAAACAGGAUUAGAUACCCUGGUAGUCCACGCCGUAAACGAUGAGUGCUAAGUGUUAGGGGGUUUCCGCCCCUUAGUGCUGCAGCUAACGCAUUAAGCACUCCGCCUGGGGAGUACGACCGCAAGGUUGAAACUCAAAGGAAUUGACGGGGACCCGCACAAGCGGUGGAGCAUGUGGUUUAAUUCGAAGCAACGCGAAGAACCUUACCAAAUCUUGACAUCCUUUGACAACUCUAGAGAUAGAGCCUUCCCCUUCGGGGGACAAAGUGACAGGUGGUGCAUGGUUGUCGUCAGCUCGUGUCGUGAGAUGUUGGGUUAAGUCCCGCAACGAGCGCAACCCUUAAGCUUAGUUGCCAUCAUUAAGUUGGGCACUCUAAGUUGACUGCCGGUGACAAACCGGAGGAAGGUGGGGAUGACGUCAAAUCAUCAUGCCCCUUAUGAUUUGGGCUACACACGUGCUACAAUGGACAAUACAAAGGGCAGCGAAACCGCGAGGUCAAGCAAAUCCCAUAAAGUUGUUCUCAGUUCGGAUUGUAGUCUGCAACUCGACUACAUGAAGCUGGAAUCGCUAGUAAUCGUAGAUCAGCAUGCUACGGUGAAUACGUUCCCGGGUCU
RNAcentral lists this ribosomal RNA (1371 nucleotides) under uncultured bacterium. Its description in RNAcentral is "bacterial SSU rRNA". It matches the Rfam family "Bacterial small subunit ribosomal RNA", at positions 28 to 1381 of the family's 1533-position model. The record is from RNAcentral.